GGACUGAGGAAAUCGCCAACCUGCGCC
This 27-nucleotide small RNA is filed under the name Bombyx mori (domestic silkworm). Its description in RNAcentral is "ovarian small RNA-17290". Lineage: Eukaryota; Metazoa; Arthropoda; Insecta; Lepidoptera; Bombycidae. The record is from RNAcentral.